UACGUAGGGUGCGAGCGUUAAUCGGAAUUACUGGGCGUAAAGCGUGCGCAGGCGGUCGUGCAAGACAGAUGUGAAAUCCCCGGGCUUAACCUGGGAACUGCAUUUGUGACUGUACGGCUGGAGUGCGGCAGAGGGGGAUGGAAUUCCGCGUGUAGCAGUGAAAUGCGUAGAUAUGCGGAGGAACACCGAUGGCGAAGGCAAUCCCCUGGGCCUGCACUGACGCUCAUGCACGAAAGCGUGGGGAGCAAACAGG
Molecule: ribosomal RNA, 253 nt
Filed under: uncultured bacterium
Lineage: Bacteria
Description: partial 16S ribosomal RNA
Rfam family: Bacterial small subunit ribosomal RNA
Source: RNAcentral